Non-coding RNA from Pelobates cultripes (western spadefoot toad), 288 nucleotides. Lineage: Eukaryota; Metazoa; Chordata; Amphibia; Anura; Pelobatidae. The record is from the annotation of a GenBank genome assembly.
ACAAAAUCCCUCAUUGCUUGUAGUAGUUAUGGUGAUUUUUCUCGCAGUGGUUAUGGUGUGGAUCACGGUACUAGCAUUGUAUUCCAACCAAGAACACGCUCCUAGACUCUGGUUACCCUGGGACUAUGGCCCCUGGAGUGCAUUUCCGGUUACAAACUCCAUUUCUGCAUCUUGGAUGUUAAAAACUAUGUCUGGCCCUUUAACUCUGCUGGGAAAGAAUCUGUUAUUUUAAAACCGGUGUGACCAACUGCCCUGUUCCUCUGGCUUUCCAUGUGCCAAACUGCCCUG